GUACUCGAGUGGCGAACGGGUGAGUAACACGUGGGUGAUCUGCCCUGCACUCUGGGAUAAGCCUGGGAAACUGGGUCUAAUACCGGAUAGGACCAUGCUUUAGUGUGUGUGGUGGAAAGUUUUUCGGUGUAGGAUGAGCCCGCGGCCUAUCAGCUUGUUGGUGGGGUAAUGGCCUACCAAGGCGGCGACGGGUAGCCGGACUGAGAGGUUGGUCGGCCACAUUGGGACUGAGAUACGGCCCAG
RNAcentral lists this ribosomal RNA (243 nucleotides) under uncultured Actinomycetales bacterium. RNAcentral describes it as "partial 16S ribosomal RNA". It matches the Rfam family "Bacterial small subunit ribosomal RNA", at positions 87 to 334 of the family's 1533-position model. Lineage: Bacteria; Bacillati; Actinomycetota; Actinomycetes; Actinomycetales. The record is from RNAcentral.